AACGCAUAUUGCACUCUUUGGUAUUCCGAGGAGUAUACUUGUUUCAGUAUAAUGAAAAUCUCACCAAUGAAACUUUUUUUGGUUCAUCUGCGUGGACUUGGGUUUGCGAUUUCUAACACAAUUGCUAAUCUAAAAUGAAUUUCAUGAAGCUUAAAUAUGCUUUGAAUCUUUUGCUUAAUAGUUUUGCUUUGUCAAAUCUUUUGCAACUGGAUUCAAAUCCAAAAAGUGGAUUGAUUUUACGAAAAAUCAAAACCUUCAUUUUUUGAUCUGAAAUCAAGUAGGAUUACCCGCUGAACUUAA
Molecule: unclassified non-coding RNA, 300 nt
Filed under: uncultured fungus
Lineage: Eukaryota; Fungi
Description: partial contains 5.8S ribosomal RNA, internal transcribed spacer 2, and large subunit ribosomal RNA
Source: RNAcentral